Molecule: non-coding RNA, 175 nt
Organism: Dolosigranulum pigrum ATCC 51524
Lineage: Bacteria; Bacillati; Bacillota; Bacilli; Lactobacillales; Carnobacteriaceae
Source: Rfam
UCCAUCGUGAGGUGGAAUCUGAAGGAAGUCAGAGGCAAACACCUGCACUGACGAACAGAAAUCUCAUAAAGAAGGCCGGAUAGGUGUGGAUAAGCUUGCAAUACAAAGUGAAGUCCAAUACUGUACGAGCACCGUCAGGUAAAUGAGGCAGUGACAUGGGUGGAAGGUUGUCGCU